Molecule: non-coding RNA, 4207 nt
Organism: Podarcis lilfordi (Lilford's wall lizard)
Lineage: Eukaryota; Metazoa; Chordata; Lepidosauria; Squamata; Lacertidae
Source: the annotation of a GenBank genome assembly
UGAAAAUUAUGUGCCAGUCUAGGAAAUAUUUGGUAGACAUAAAUGUUUCUAAGCGGCAAUUAAAGGUGAUUACUGUCUCCGCCUUACAAAUUGCUUAAGGGCAUUCCAUAGGUUGGGUGCUGUCACCAAGAAGGUCUGCUUCCCUGUUGUCAUCAAGUGACAAUCGGCAGAGUCUCCUUCAAACAUCUACCAGGGAUCUGCUAGCUGGUUUGCUACAUACAGUAUUGGUGUUGUAUAGAAGGUGGGUUAUCUCUAGGAUGUAUAACCUCUGUACAGUGUCUUCUAAGUAACAGUGGUAGGAAACAAAAUGUUUUGUGAGUAGGUGAACGAAGGAAAGUUUCUGGGGGAGUGCCAGCAAAGAACUUAAAGCUAGGGCAGCAGGAAUUGGAGCCAAGUUUAGUCAUCAGAGUAUAAUAAGAGCCCUGCUGGAUCAGGCCACUGGUCCAUCUAUUCUAUUCCUCCAUUCUAAUCUUACAGUGGCCAACCAGAUGCUUAUAGGAAGUCAGAGUUGUAUAGUGCUGAACAUUUUUUUCCACUUUUCGGUCUUUUGUGGCAUCAUUUUUAACAGUUUGUAGCAGCAAACAGUGGGGCGUCACUUUCAUUCAAGUGGUGCUGUUCCAUGACAACCAAAAAAAGUAUACUUUCCACCUUCCAAGGAAAGUAAAAUGAAAGUAUUAGAUUUUAAAUACUACUGACGCUGUGCGACCUAUUAUGAAUCUCAAAAAUUAAUACAGUUCGGUACAGCUGCAUGAUUAUGAAAAGGCACCAUUAAUAUAGAGAGACCUGCCAGCGAUGCCUCAUUAAUGGAAGGUAAGCAUGUUGGAGGAUCCUUGGGUUUUAUUUCAGUGACUUUUUCCUUUCGCCUUUGUACUGCUGAACCUUGAAAAUGUAAAGAGCUUCAAGAAUUUUUGAAACAAAAACUCCUGACAGGGGUUAAGUGCUCAUUAAAAUUAAUAGGACUAGCAAAGGAGGUUGCUUCCAAGAAAACAAAAAUCUGGGAACAUUUUGGCCUGAAUAAUGACUGAUUUCACUAGUAAAUGGAGAGGUGAGCAAUACAAUAUUUUUCUGCAGUCUUACCCCUUUUUCGCUUAAGAAAAUAAAACUUUUUUUUUAAAAAAAGGUAUGAGGCAUAACCUCUCAAAUAUAAUUAAUUUUGAGUCUGGCACCCUGAUCCUAUAUAUUUGUAUAUGCUUAUCAAUGUACAAAUAUCCCAGAGGCAUUGGAAUAAUACUGAUUUGUUUAUUUUUUAAAAAAUGACAUGCCACUUUUCCCCUUGAGGUAGGUUCACCCAAAGCGGCUUACAAAUAUAGAAGCAAACAGAGACCCAAUAGCCAAAAUGCAAAAGAUCAAAGAGCCAUGCAAACACAGUGAAGCAUCAUUGAUACAUAAAAGUAUUUGUAGUCUCUCUGUUAUCAAGUCCAGGCCGGUUGCACCCCUGUAUAUGAUGGUCUAGAGGGAGGGCAACGCUAUGGUCGGUCUCUUUAGUACUGAGUGGGCUAUUUUUGGCUGCCAGGAGCACCAACUCCGUCAGGAGAGACGUUACCUUUUCUAAUUUGAUGUUAAUUUCCUCCACUGUUCUUGCAGUCAGCAGACAGUGGUCCGCGAGUAUUUCUGCAUAGAGCGGUGCCCCCUCAGACGGUAGUUCAUGGGAUAAUUCAUGAGCGCUCAUCUCAGCAUUCUCCCCUGGGUGAUCUCCACCCAUUAAAGCAUCCCCACCUACCUGGGAAUGAAUCCUAUUUGGUGUGGUAGAUUCUGAGUUCUGUGCUUUUACAAAAUCGUCCAUUUUGCUCUGCUUGCUCUUCUGUGGGCUCCCUUCUGGAGAUGAGGCCAGUCGUUUCUUUUUCCUAGGCAUUUUCCAGGGAUAGAGCCGCUGUAAAUCAGAGCAGCUUCUGCUGUAAAUCAGGAAGCUCUCUCUCUCUCUUUCUUAUGAAAGCCCUGUACAAUGGAACCAAACUGCAGGUCCGAUGCGGUCGACAGGGACAGCUAUCGAACAGCAUCGAGAUGACUAGGGGGGUGAGACAGGGUUGUAUUUUGGCCCCCACAUUGUUUUGUCUAUUCUUAAAUGACCUAGAAGAGAACUUAAUGGACCCAGAUGGACACAUUCCAAAAAUAGAAAUGAGAAGGACCCCUUUGUUGUUGUAUGCUGAUGACGCGGCCAUCAUCUCGCGUUACAGACCGGGCUUGAAUUAUCUGUUGAGGAAAUUUUCUGAUUACUGUUCUGGAAAUGGUUUAUCCAUUAAUUAUGAAAAAUCUAAAAUUUUAGUCUUCGAAAGAAGAUUCUCCCAGUCUAAAUGGGUGCUGGAUGGCCAUAACCUUGAACAGGUAAAAUACUUCAGUUACCUAGGGCUCACAUUCCAUCAUACAGGAUCUUGGAAGCACCAUUGGCAAACCUCCCUUCAAAAGGCGGAGAUUACAAAGCUAGCCAUACAUAGAUUCUUCUUCACAAAGGGCGGCAAAUAUGUUCCAGCAGCCUUAAGGGUUUUCAACGCAAAGCCCGUUUCCCAACUCCUGUAUGCAGCAAAUGUCUGGCAUAAUGGGGACCUGCCAAAGCUAGAUGGCUUUCAGGCAAAAUUUAUACGAUCUCUGCUGCAGGUACCUAACUGCGUCCCUAACUCCGUACUUCUGUUGGAAGCUGGUGAAUGCCCAAUUUCAGCUAGAGCGUGGUGGGCUGCCCUAAAACAUUGGCUCAGGAUUUCAGUGUUUAAUCUAGGGAAGGGUCUGUACCAACAUUUGACCAAUGAGGAAUUCGUCAGCAAAUGGUAGAAAACCAUGGCUAAAAAAGCCACCUCUAUUGGUCUGUCUCUCCCGCCCCCUCCACUGUAUUACCUGGGCUAUGAAGGCGCCCAAAAGGUUUUAAAGCAAAGAUUAUGGGACAAUGCACACAGUGACUUGCGAUCUCGGUCACACGCAGUCUGUAGUCCGCUGGCAGCAGGAGUUCAAUAUGGGUAUGUCUUUGAGUUAACAGCUUACAUCAAAAACCUAACAGUACCUAACUAUCGAAGGCUUUUCACCAAAGCCAGACUGAAUGUCUUCCCCUCUGCAGUGCUGGAUGGUAGGUUGAGAGGAGUUCCCUACCAGGACAGACUUUGCUCGUGUGCUCAAGACAUCGAUUCCAUAGAUCAUAUUUUGUUACAUUGUGCGAAGUAUGAGCAGGCCAGGGCUGAACUGAUACUACCCUUGCUGGUGCCUUUCCCAGGAAAGUCAGAGGCUCACUAUGUCAGGUUCCUACUGGAAGACCGGACAAAAGCUAGAACGUUGGCAGUGGCAAAGUUUUUAUCGGUGGUUGCAAGAACAAACGAGCCCUAUAUUCCAAACAAAGUGCUUGAUUAACCUGGAGGUAGACUGUAUGAACUCUGUAUUAAUUUGUAAUGUUUUGUUGGGUCUCUGGACCGUAAUAAAGAUUGAUGAUGAUACAUAAAAGUGGCAAUAGAAUCAAAACCGUGCUUAAAAGGGGGGUAUUUUCAGUUUCCAGCACAUCUCCAAUUGCUAGGAGGUCAGAACACUCAGGAAAUAGGAGGUAGUACUCCUUUCCUGAGCUCUAAUGUUUCCUUUCAAUGGUGCUUUGCAAGCAGAGGUGACUUGUGCAAGGAAGAGGCACAACCAAUUUUGCCAUGGGCCUAAGCAACUUCAAGCAUCUUGAUAGGCCUGAUUUGGGCUGCGGAGGACGCUAGGAUUGCGUUUAGCCCCUAGAGCCCUCCGGCCUUAUAUAACUUCCUGUUGUCCUAACCCAUCACAUAAAUCAGGACAAAACCUCCUGAUGAUAGAUCCUGUUAUCUACGCAAGAGCUAUGCUUUCUUUCUAAAUGCCUUACAUCCAAGAGUUCUAACCACAGAGGGCCUUCUCGGUGGCUGCACCCCUGUUAUGAAACACCCUUCCAACAGGGAUCCUUUUAGCAUCUACAACACUGCCUUUAGCAGUAGGUAAACACUCCUGUUCAACCAAGCUUUCUGAUUAUUCUGUUCUGCAUUACUUAGAGGGCAUAUCUGUUAGCGUAGUUUGCUUAUGCUGGAACAGCUUUUUGUGUUGCUUUUAUUGCUCUUUUUGAGACAUUGUUCCUAAUCUGGUGAUGGUCAUUCUUGUUUUUGUUUGAAAAUGGUUCUUCUUUGCAUGAGCUGCCUUGAAUACUACUGUGUAUCAGAAAGACAGCACAAACAUACUGUCUGGUGGAUAGGAAAUAUUUGUUUUAUUUAGCAAAAUGUUAUACUGC